UUGGGAAUCUUGCACAAUGGGGGAAACCCUGAUGCAGCGACGCCGCGUGGAGGAUGACGGGUCUAGGCCUGUAAACUCCUUUUAAUGGGAAAGACUUAGGACGGUACCCAUUGAAUAAGGACCGGCUAACUACGUGCCAGCAGCCGCGGUAAGACGUAGGGUCCAAGCGUUGUCCGGAUUUACUGGGCGUAAAGAGCGCGUAGGCGGUCUGUUAAGUGUGAAGUGAAAUCUCCAGGGCUCAACCCGGAAACUGCUUCGCAUACUGGCAGACUGGAGGGAUGCAGAGGUUUGUGGAAUUCCUGGUGUAGCGGUGAAAUGCAUAGAUAUCAGGAGGAACACCCAUGGCGAAGGCAGCAAACUGGGCAUCAUCUGACGCUGAGGCGCGAAAGCGUGGGUAGCAAACAGGAUUAGAUACCCCUGUAGUCC
RNAcentral lists this ribosomal RNA (426 nucleotides) under uncultured bacterium. RNAcentral describes it as "bacterial SSU rRNA". It matches the Rfam family "Bacterial small subunit ribosomal RNA", at positions 355 to 796 of the family's 1533-position model. The record is from RNAcentral.